Molecule: long non-coding RNA, 259 nt
Organism: Humulus lupulus (European hop)
Lineage: Eukaryota; Viridiplantae; Streptophyta; Magnoliopsida; Rosales; Cannabaceae
Exons: 2
Source: RefSeq, a predicted model, not a curated record
GUUGCAUUACCUUAACAAGGAAGAUCGGUUGCUGCGCUGGCUUGUGGUCAAACACCGAGAUGCAAAAUAUGGGCUGAAAUUUCUUAGUGAAGAGGACAGCAGAAAUGAACUCAGUAAGUUUCCUCGAAGCAGUUUAUAUGAUAAUCAAGAUGUUGAUGAGGACGAUGACAACGACGAUGAAUAUGCUGUGGAUGAAGAAGAAGGAAAGCAGACAUAAGUAACUAGAAUGACAGGUGAACUUCAUUGGAUUCAAUAGUCA